GCCAACGGCCAUACCACGUUGAAUACACCGGUUCUCGUCCGAUCACCGAAGUUAAGCAACAUCGGGCGUGGUUAUAGUACCUGGAUGGGUGACCGCCUGGGAACACCGCGUGCUGUUGGCU
Molecule: ribosomal RNA, 121 nt
Filed under: Rhodnius prolixus
Lineage: Eukaryota; Metazoa; Arthropoda; Insecta; Hemiptera; Reduviidae
Source: RNAcentral